RNAcentral lists this ribosomal RNA (467 nucleotides) under uncultured bacterium. Its description in RNAcentral is "bacterial SSU rRNA". It matches the Rfam family "Bacterial small subunit ribosomal RNA", at positions 28 to 507 of the family's 1533-position model. The record is from RNAcentral.
GAUGAACGUUGGCGGUGCGCCUAAUACAUGCAAGUCGAACGGAGACUGUAGCAAUAUGUUUUUAGUGGCGAACGGGUGAGUAACGCGUAGACAACCAACCUUUUUGUGGGGACAACACUUCGAAAGGAGUGCUAAUACCGCAUACGCUCUUGAUGCCGCCUGGCAUUUGGAGGAAAGGAGCUGUAAGGCUUCGCAAAAAGACGGGUCUGCGUCUGAUUAGCUAGUUGGAGGGGUAACGGCCCACCAAGGCGACGAUCAGUAGCCGGUCUGAGAGGAUGGACGGCCACACUGGAACUGAGACACGGUCCAGACUCCUACGGGAGGCAGCAGUGGGGAAUAUUGGGCAAUGGGCGAAAGCCUGACCCAGCGACGCCGCGUGAAGGAUGAAGGUCUUCGGAUUGUAAACUUCUUUGAUCAGGGAAGAAGAAAUGACGGUACCUGAAGAACAAGCCACGGCUAACUACGUG